GCGCGAUUUGCGAUUUUUUGAGCUCAUGACAAAGGUCGACGCAAGUUAAUGUUUGGGGGACUUGGCAAUUCUGACCUUUUGCAUCUUCAGGCAUUUUCAGGAACCCAUCAGCCAUCUGAAAGC
Long non-coding RNA from Acanthaster planci (crown-of-thorns starfish), 123 nucleotides. Lineage: Eukaryota; Metazoa; Echinodermata; Asteroidea; Valvatida; Acanthasteridae. The record is from RefSeq and is a predicted model, not a curated record.